This 341-nucleotide ribosomal RNA is filed under the name uncultured bacterium. RNAcentral describes it as "bacterial SSU rRNA". It matches the Rfam family "Bacterial small subunit ribosomal RNA", at positions 28 to 392 of the family's 1533-position model. The record is from RNAcentral.
GAUGAACGCUGGCGGCGUGCUUAAUACAUGCAAGUCGAGCGGUAACACUUCGGGUGACGAGCGGCGGACGGCUGAGUAACGCGUAGGAACCUACCCCAGACUGAGGGAUAAGCAUCAGAAAUGGUGUCUAAUACCGCAUACGCUCUUCGGAGUAAAGCUUCGGCGGUUUGGGAAGGGCCUGCGUAUGAUUAGCUUGUUGGUGAGGUAACGGCUCACCGAAGGCGACGAUCAUUAGCUGGUCUGAGAGGAUGAUCAGCCAGACUGGACUGAGACACGGCCCAGACUCCGUACGGGAGGCAGCAGUAGGGAAUUUUCCACAAUGGGCGCAAGCCUGAUGGAGC